RNAcentral lists this ribosomal RNA (271 nucleotides) under uncultured prokaryote. RNAcentral describes it as "partial 16S ribosomal RNA". It matches the Rfam family "Bacterial small subunit ribosomal RNA", at positions 524 to 776 of the family's 1533-position model. The record is from RNAcentral.
UACGGAGGGUGCGAGCGUUGUCCGGAAUCACUGGGCGUAAAGGGCGCGUAGGCGGCAUGCCAAGCGUGUGGUGAAAGCCCGGGGCUCAACCCCGGGUCGGCCGUGCGGACUGGCGUGCUCGAGCACUGUAGGGGCGGGUGGAAUUCCGGGUGGAGCGGUGGAAUGCGUAGAGAUCCGGAAGAACACCGGUGGCGAAGGCGGCCCGCUGGGCAGGAAGACACCGCAAGGUGUCGGCUGACGCUGAGGCGCGACAGCGUGGGGAGCAAACAGG